Acanthosepion pharaonis is the source of this 110-nucleotide non-coding RNA. NCBI's taxonomy places the organism in Eukaryota, Metazoa, Mollusca, Cephalopoda, Sepiida, Sepiidae. The record is from the annotation of a GenBank genome assembly.
CAGCCACAUCAUGUUAAAACACCAGUUCCCGUACGAUUACUAAAAUUAAGCAACGUCGAGCCUGAUCAGUACUUAAAUGGGUGACUGAUUGGGAAUACUAGUUGCUGUAA